Trichomycterus rosablanca is the source of this 468-nucleotide long non-coding RNA. RefSeq lists it as uncharacterized. The transcript is spliced from 2 exons. NCBI's taxonomy places the organism in Eukaryota, Metazoa, Chordata, Actinopteri, Siluriformes, Trichomycteridae. The record is from RefSeq and is a predicted model, not a curated record.
UAGAGGCUGAUUAACUUAAUUGUAUUGGUAAACAUAUUUUGAAUUUCAUGCCUGCAACACAGUCCAAGGAACUGUCUAUGGGUCUCAAACUGCGGCAAGUCAAAGACCUAGGCAAGGACCUAAAACAAUAUCUAAUGGUUUGAGUGUUUCCAGAACCACAGUGAAUGAAAGAAGCUUGGCACAACCUUGCCCAGUCAAGAUGGACAUCCGGACAGGAAGGGCCUCAGUCAGUUAGUUCACCUCACUUGCACGUCUUUGGACUGUGGGAGGAAACCGGAGCUUCCAGCAGAAACCCACGCAGACACGAGGAGAACAUGCAAACUCCACACAGAAAGGACCCCAACCGCCACACCUGGGGAUCGAACCCAGGACCUUCUUGCUGUGAGGCGACAGCGCUACCCACCGUGCCACCGUGCCACCAGGGCAUUUUAAUAUUUUGCUUUAAAAAUAAAAAUGAAACAGAUCUAA